RNAcentral lists this ribosomal RNA (447 nucleotides) under Cladonia arbuscula. RNAcentral describes it as "SSU rRNA". It matches the Rfam family "Bacterial small subunit ribosomal RNA", at positions 777 to 1189 of the family's 1533-position model. Lineage: Eukaryota; Fungi; Ascomycota; Lecanoromycetes; Lecanorales; Cladoniaceae. The record is from RNAcentral.
AUUAGAUACCCCAAUAGUCAAAGCAGAAAAUGAUGAAUGUCAUAGAUUAGAUAUACAAUUUAUUCUAUAAAUGAAAGUGUAAGCAUUCCACCUCAAGAGUAAUUUGGCAACAUUGGAACUGAAAUCAUUAGACCGUUUCUGAAACCAGUAGUGAAGUAUGUUGUUUAAUUUGAUGAUACGCAAAAAACCUUACCACAAUUUGAAUAUUUAUAUAAAUCUUUUAUUGAUUUUUACUAACAUAUAUGUAAACAAUUAAAAUGAUGCUUAUAUCUCGUUUGCGAGAUUAAGCAUCAGAAAAGAUAAUAUAUUUACAAGCGUUGCACGGCUGUCUUCAGUUAAUGUCGUGAGAUUUUGGUUAGUUCCAUUAAAUUAACGUAAACCCUUACUUUAUUUUUAUAUAAAGUAGUUCUCCGCUAUAUUGGAUAUGAUAACAGGGACUAAGACAAG